Molecule: non-coding RNA, 52 nt
Organism: Equus caballus (horse)
Lineage: Eukaryota; Metazoa; Chordata; Mammalia; Perissodactyla; Equidae
Source: Rfam
UUUUUAGUAUAAGUACGUCCCAUGCAAUAUUUGGGACAUACUUGUAUUAAAA